CCUAAAUCUUUCCACGUGAAUUGUUUGGACAACGUUGGGCUUCGUUGGCGGCUUCCCUUGUGGUUGUCGUCGGCUUGAGGCUAUCGGACGGCUUGGCUGCUUGCUUGGUUCGUUGAUUGAUUGCUCCGUCAGUCGAUCGAUGGACCGAGAGAGUAGUGAGGCGGUCUUUUUGUAAACCCAUUGUCGUAUUGAAACUGAUUGUACUGUGGGGACGAAAGUCUCUGCUUUGAACUAGAUAGCAACUUUCAGCAGUGGAUGUCUAGGCUCGCACAUCGAUGAAGAACGCUGCGAACUGCGAUACGUAAUGCGAAUUGCAGGAUUCAGUGAGUCAUCGAAAUUUUGAACGCAUAUUGCACUUUCGGGUUUUGCCUGGAAGUAUGUCUGUAUCAGUGUCCGUAGACUAAAAUUGCCUUUCUUGCGUCGUGUAGUCGUCGGUUGGAAAGCGCAGAUGUGAGGUGUCUUGCGUGGUCUGCAUGGGUYGGUUCGGCGCAGGCCGGGUCGAGUCGGUUGGUUCUGCGCAAGUCCCUUUAAAGUCGGACGUGUUUCUCUGUGUGGUGCGCGGUGGCGGAUCUGUGGACGUGCGUACGUGCGGGACGGCAAUGCUGUGCGCGGACGAGUCUGGCGGUCUUUGGUGCUUGCACUGUGGGGAUUCCUCGAUUGGCGGUAUGUUUGGCUUCGGCUUUGACAAUGCAGCUUAUCGGGUGUUUCUCUGCGCGGCUUGUGCUGUAGGAAGACGAACCGGAUGGUCUGUGUGUGUCGGCGUUGUGUGUGUCUGUGCGUUCGUUGGUUUGCGAAGAGCCGUUGUAUGCGUGCGCCAUGCAUGAGGCGUGGUAGAUUUGGGAAACUGUGCUGGCAUGGACUUUCGGGUCGGUGCGAGCAUCUCAAUUGGACCUGAUAUCAGACAA
This 905-nucleotide ribosomal RNA is filed under the name Phytopythium kandeliae. RNAcentral describes it as "eukaryotic LSU rRNA". The stretch from base 241 to 395 matches the Rfam family "5.8S ribosomal RNA". The record is from RNAcentral. Lineage: Eukaryota; Oomycota; Peronosporomycetes; Pythiales; Pythiaceae.